UAAUUCUUCUCAUUCCUAAAGGAAAUGAAGAAGUGCUAUCCUAAAGCUGGUGUGUAUAGAUCCUGUGAAUGUUUCUGUACUUUUACUAUAUGUGUAUAUAUUUCUUCAUUUCCUUUAGGAAUGAGAAAGAACUAGAUGGGUUUCAGCUGGAUCCAUUUUAUUUCUACAGGAGAGAACUAAGCAAAUGUGGUAAAAUGUUAACAUUUGUUAAAUCUGAGUGGUGCAUCCCUAGGUUUCUUUUAUACUGCUUUCUGUAUGUUUGCAACAUUUUAUAAUUAAAAUUUGUCUGUGUGAUAUAUAAUAAGGAUACACACGUGGAAGAGGCUAGCGGGCACCAAAAUAUAAACAGCAACUCUAUUGGCAAAGUAUAGCACAAACUUAUUUUCUUUAAGCUUUUCUGUAUUUUUAAAAUUUAUAUAGUAAGUAUGAUAUAAGAAAUAAAAACAGGACAUGUCUUUUUAGGAAGCAACAAUGUUGUAGGCAAAGAGUGCUGCAGUGGAGUAUGGAAUCUGCUCCUAUGUGACACUGGUUGAUUCACGUAGGCACUUUGUGGCAGUUUCCUCACCUGCACGGUGGUUUUAUGGGCCACGGGCUCACUAAACCGACUUAUUCUUCCUGGUAACCUGCAUACAGACCUCCCAGGCCCUGGUGUGAAGGUGGCUCUGUGACUAACUCUUGCUGGUGGAGUGGGAGGAGGCAGUUAGAAAUUUUCAUAUGGUCAGAAUACCCACGGAAUAUAUGAGUGGCAGCAGUAAACAGUCCUUGAAGUUCUUGGUUGUUUAACUUGACUAUUGGUGAGGCCCAGUGAGGCCCUGUCUGCUCCAAGCAAAUUACAUAAAAAAGAUGUGAAUAAAAACUCAUCAAAUACUAACAGAGACUGUGUCUAAGAUGCCAAUUGAAGACUGGAACAGCCAUUUGAAUGUGGGGUAUUCCUGGAAACCUGCUCUAGUAGGCACUGGAGAAGCCACAGGAGCCUGUCAAUAUAGAAUAGACACACUUUGUGCUCAAUAAUAAUUCACUAAUUGACGAAUAUAUUGAUGGAGUGUUGGUUUGCUUCACAAUCUGCUGGGAAAAACAUACUCAUUUUUGGAUGAAUUUCAGGUCUUAUGGGUAAAAUUUGUUUUUGCUUUUUCCAUUUUGUUUCAAUCCCCU
Chlorocebus sabaeus (green monkey) is the source of this 1152-nucleotide long non-coding RNA. RefSeq lists it as uncharacterized. The record is from RefSeq and is a predicted model, not a curated record. Lineage: Eukaryota; Metazoa; Chordata; Mammalia; Primates; Cercopithecidae.